Molecule: ribosomal RNA, 778 nt
Filed under: Serratia marcescens
Lineage: Bacteria; Pseudomonadati; Pseudomonadota; Gammaproteobacteria; Enterobacterales; Yersiniaceae
Description: bacterial SSU rRNA
Rfam family: Bacterial small subunit ribosomal RNA
Source: RNAcentral
CUUGCUCCCUGGGUGACGAGCGGCGGACGGGUGAGUAAUGUCUGGGAAACUGCCUGAUGGAGGGGGAUAACUACUGGAAACGGUAGCUAAUACCGCAUAACGUCGCAAGACCAAAGAGGGGGACCUUCGGGCCUCUUGCCAUCAGAUGUGCCCAGAUGGGAUUAGCUAGUAGGUGGGGUAAUGGCUCACCUAGGCGACGAUCCCUAGCUGGUCUGAGAGGAUGACCAGCCACACUGGAACUGAGACACGGUCCAGACUCCUACGGGAGGCAGCAGUGGGGAAUAUUGCACAAUGGGCGCAAGCCUGAUGCAGCCAUGCCGCGUGUGUGAAGAAGGCCUUCGGGUUGUAAAGCACUUUCAGCGAGGAGGAAGGUGGUGAGCUUAAUACGCUCAUCAAUUGACGUUACUCGCAGAAGAAGCACCGGCUAACUCCGUGCCAGCGGCCGCGGUAAUACGGAGGGUGCAAGCGUUAAUCGGAAUUACUGGGCGUAAAGCGCACGCAGGCGGUUUGUUAAGUCAGAUGUGAAAUCCCCGGGCUCAACCUGGGAACUGCAUUUGAAACUGGCAAGCUAGAGUCUCGUAGAGGGGGGUAGAAUUCCAGGUGUAGCGGUGAAAUGCGUAGAGAUCUGGAGGAAUACCGGUGGCGAAGGCGGCCCCCUGGACGAAGACUGACGCUCAGGUGCGAAAGCGUGGGGAGCAAACAGGAUUAGAUACCCUGGUAGUCCACGCUGUAAACGAUGUCGAUUUGGAGGUUGUGCCCUUGAGGCGUGGCUUCCGGA